CCGUACUGUGGUGCGGCCAACCGUCAUGGGGCUUGUCGUUUCAGUCUCCGCCCGGAUGCAUUCUUCCAGGGCGGAGGGACCGUAUUGAGCUGGUGCUUGCGUCGGUACCUUUGGCGGAAUAUUUGUAGACUAGCGAUGGAUUACUUUCCCGGAUUGUGCACGGAUGGCGUCCGUGCGCAUAAAAUGUCGGCUGUUCCUUGACCUGCAGCGGUUGAAAUCCCCAGCGCAGGGCUCGAUUAUUGCCGCCUCUUUCGGAUGCUGUAGCCAUAGACGGUGUUGCGGUCCUGCGGUCCGCAAAGUCCCUGGGUAGAUGCCUCGUGCGGGUUGCUACUCCCUUCUUCUCCGCUCUGUGCAGCGGGCUGCGGGGCUGAGCGCUCGUUCGUGUGCGAUGUUCGUCCCUCGCGGAGAGCGAUUGUCGGUCCACUACGUGCGAAUGUUUCCCCUUCGGGGGGCAGCCGCGGCGGAGUGCCGGUUCUCGUUUAUGACGUGCUACCUGGU
Molecule: unclassified non-coding RNA, 498 nt
Filed under: Calyptrocarya sp. K 11301
Lineage: Eukaryota; Viridiplantae; Streptophyta; Magnoliopsida; Poales; Cyperaceae
Description: partial external transcribed spacer 1
Source: RNAcentral